CAGGACUACCAUGCCUCCAAGGAAUUCAGGACAUAAAAUUACAGGAUUGGAGUGAAGAAUUGCUAUUAUAGAGGAAAUCAGAUCCUUACUUUAAGGGUUUGAAGACUAUGGAUGAAGUUACAGAGUCUCUUGUUUAUCAGCCAACUGUUGUAACUGUGGAUUCCAAGUAGCCAUAGGUUAACAAAGCGCUGAAGCAUAGACAUGGGAGUCAGACAGUUGCAAACUGCUCCAUGACACUGUCUGGUGCUACGAAUCAUCCUGCUCAGACUGAGGAGCCUCUCACUGUAAUAGAGGCAUGUGAAAAAUGUACAGAAUAAUUCUUCCAUCGAUUCGUUUCAACUUUUGACUGACCACAAACCACUCAACCCCCCUGAUAAAUAGCAAAGACUUGGAUUAUGUGCCAGUGAGUUGUCAAACACUACUUAGCACCUAAUGAGGUACAAUCCACAGACAUAAUACAGUGGUUGUGCCUGGAAAGUCCCAGGAAGCUGGUCUAGCUAGCUUUUGAAUGUGAUAGAUGUAUGAACAAUGCAAAUGGUUGAGAAAACUGAUUAUCAUUAUGAAAGAGGUCUGUAACACUUAAAAGCAAUGUCUAAUUCAUAAUUAUUAUUGCACUGGAUGCUACCAAAGAAUUUGAAAUGGGUAAGCGACUAAUUUAGGUAUAAUGAAAAUAUAAACAAUAAUACAUGGAUUUCUGUUACAGAAAGAAGUAUCACUAUCAAAUGUAAUGGAGAUUCCAUAGUUAAUCCAGAAAAAUAUUCUUAUGGAAUUUCAAGACUGUAGACAUUAUGGAUUAUGCUGAAGGAGCAAACAUGUCCAUUUGGUGGCUUCAUGUAGAGGAAAGAAUCCAAAUCAUUUCAGCUUUGUGUUGCUGACUGAUCUAUACACUCAGAUUACCUCCCUUUCAUAUCAAUAGCUUUGGCAUAUACCUCCCAUCGGCAAGUUGGGAAAACCUGACCCACAAAAUUGACCUUUUGACCCUACCCUAGUUAAAAAAUUAUAUUAGGUAUAACAGCAUUACAGAGUAUGAUGUUGGGGAACAGCAAUUUCUUCAUUUGUUUAAGAUCCUCUUGGCAGAGCCUUGCAAAUCUGCAGCUAUCCACUUUAUUUCUGUGGGUAUCUGCAUCCAUGGAUAUCAAUGAGGAUAUCUGUGGUUCAUUUUUUGUGGAUAUGGCUGCAGAGGCAAAUUUUGUAUCUAGAAACCUGCAAAUUUGCAGAUAUCCACAUCCAUGGAUGUCAAAAUGGAUAUCCGCUUUUGUGGAUACAGGUAUAGAUGUGGAUACAAGUUUUGUAUCCAUGAGAGCUCUACCUCUCAAGUGGAUUUUUACCCUGCACUUACUAUCCUUAAUACAAUGACUUGUAAAUUGUAAUUUAUUUACUGAGUUGUCCAAAGGCUCAAACUUUUCAAUACUGCCUUGCAUAUCUUUAUUUACUAAACUCCUCCUGCUUCUCUUCUCUGGAAAUCUAGCUUGCAGCAACUUCAUCCUCAGUUUGGGAUUCCUGGAUAAAUCUUUCUUCUUUCUGGUGCCUUGUGGAGUCAUUAACAUUUACAUGCCAACAUCUUCCCACUGAAAUGUUGUUGGUCCUUCUGGCACCUCUUCCCUCCACAUGUGCUUUUUAAAAAGCCAUCUUGAACCCUGUAAUCCCACACAGGAUAUUUUUUGCCCAUAUCUCACACAGCAAUUUGUUUCCUCCCCAAACUAAUGACACCUUUGCAACAUAAAUCAUAUUUAGCCCAUGAGAACAUCCAAUUAUCUAUAAGCUCUACAUUUUUAGCAAGCCUCAUUGCUAACAGUCAAAAUAGGACUUUAAAGAGUAAUAAAAUUAAUGACCAGAGUGUAAUAUACACAAUACAUGAUUGGAAAGCAAUUAGAAAACUCUCUUUCACUUAGCCACUCCUCAUCUAAAAUGUGACACAAGUUCCUGAAUCUUUAUGUGGUUUACAACCAAUGGGGGGGCGGGGGGAGAACUAAGCCACAGGGAGUGUGGGUUACUGUUGCACAAAUCAAAGUAACAUCAUGUUUUCUUUGGUGAUUUGUGUCUGCAGUGAGAUAGUUCAAGGCUCAGAUACCCAGAUUUUUCAGUUCAAAUGUGAAUGGCAAAGUUAUAGGUACAAAUGCUCUGAGGAGUAUCUCUCCACAAAAUGGAAGCUGCUCUUUAGGAAAUUUGCCUUUGAUGUUCACGUGGGUAACGACGUUAUGAUUUUUUCUGUUUCACAUUAUAAACCGCCUGUGCUGAUAGACUGGUCACUGCCCACUUAACACUCCCUUGAUGUCCCAAAUACAUUGUUUAGUCCCAACUACAUCCGAAAGAAUGUGAGGUCCCAAAUACAAUUAUUUAGUUUCAUACAGCACAUCUCAAUAUUCUGCAGGAGACAACAUUAUGAGCCAGACUAUGAUGGCCUCCCUAAUGCUGAGUAAAACUUCUGUCUACCAUUGCCCCAUUGACUUCAGUGGGACUAGUUUGUUGUAAGAUAUUAUUUAAGAUGAGUGAAAUGUCACAAUCUGGACAUUAGUGAUAAUUGCCUUCUCCCUAAAAAGCAAUAUCUUUUCAACAGAGAGGACAUUAACUGAAAUGUAAUGAUGUUAAACAUGCUUCAACUAACUUCUCUAUUAUCAAUUUGUGUUUGAGACAAUUCAAUGUUACAGAGGCCAUCAUUUGAUAAAAGAUCAUUUCUUUACAGCUUUUGCAAUUACAGUAUUUGCAAACUACAGUGAAAUGCUGACCUUUGAAUGGUGAACACUGUCUCUUGCCUUGGGAUGAUACAACUUACUUCAUACAGCAUAGGAUAUAUAUAUAGAGAGAGAGGCCUCGAGCCACACCAAAUUCUACUUAAAGGCUGGUGAUCUAAAAAUGGGUAGGCAAAACUGUUACAUAAAGAAAUGUUCAAAAUCUGCUUACAGCAGCUGGUAAGUA
Pelodiscus sinensis (Chinese soft-shelled turtle) is the source of this 2916-nucleotide long non-coding RNA. RefSeq lists it as uncharacterized. Lineage: Eukaryota; Metazoa; Chordata; Testudines; Trionychidae. The record is from RefSeq and is a predicted model, not a curated record.